CGCGUAGGCGGAUUUUCAAGUCGGAUGUGAAAUCCUAUGGCUUAACCAAAGGCCUGCAUCCGAUACUGUUAAUCUUGAGUACGGGAGAGGGAAGUGGAAUUCCAGGUGUAGCGGUGACAUGCGUAGAUAUCUGGAAGAACACCGGUGGCGAAGGCGGCUUCCUGGCCCGAUACUGACGCUCAGGCGCGAAAGCUAGGGGAGCAAACA
Molecule: ribosomal RNA, 207 nt
Filed under: uncultured bacterium
Lineage: Bacteria
Description: partial 16S ribosomal RNA
Rfam family: Bacterial small subunit ribosomal RNA
Source: RNAcentral